CGAAGACAUCGUGAUGUGCUUUCUCAAUUUCAUCAAACAGGACUACAGAAUAUGGUCUUCGACGAACCACUUCAGUGAGCUGCCCCCCUUCUUCAUAUCCAACAUAACCUGGCGGAGCCCCCACCAACCGUGAAACAGCAUGCUUUUCCAUAUAUUCACUCAUAUCUAUUCUCACCAUAGCAUUUUCCGUGUUAAAGAGGUAAGCAGCUAAAGCUUUUGCAAGCUCAGUUUUGCCAACACCAGUAGGGCCCAUGAACAUGAAGCUAGCUAUUGGACGAUUUGGGUCUGACAAUCCUGCCCUUGAACGUCGGAUUGCAUCAGCCACAGAUUUUACUGCAAUAUCUUGGCCAACUACCCUCUUGUGGAGUACCUGUUCCAGGAAUACUAGUUUCUCCCUCUCAGAUUCUUGAAGGUUUGACACAGG
Molecule: unclassified non-coding RNA, 424 nt
Filed under: Hevea brasiliensis (rubber tree)
Lineage: Eukaryota; Viridiplantae; Streptophyta; Magnoliopsida; Malpighiales; Euphorbiaceae
Source: RNAcentral